AUCCAGCAAUGUCAGCAACAGUGGGAUAUUUAUUAGAUAAAUUCCUGCAGAAUUUUCUUGGAAAUAAUUAAUUUUAAAGAGUUUUUUAAAAUUAAUUUCAGCUCUGUCAAUGGGAGGGAAUCUCCUGGGAGUUCCUCAUUAUGGAACUCCAAUUCCGUAAUUCACCUCAUCCAUGAGGGCUGUAAUUCCAGGGCUUGGAGCUGCUUAAGAACUGGAGCAAAAUCAUUUAAAAAUUUUUAAAAACAAAAUUAGUUUUUGAACUUAAUUUUUACAAAGUGCAAAUUUUAAAUUUAGUUUAAAAAGAAAGAAAUGGUAGGAAUCUUUAAUGCAAAAUCCUAUAACUUUUUUAUUGUUUGUACUCAUUAUUUACUAUAAUAAAUUUAUUUCUCUGUAAAGGUCCUAACAAAAAUUUAUUGCUCUACAAAAUAAAACACAAAAACAUAAAAUAAAUUCAAAAAUUCAAAAUGGGUUUUAAUUUUUAUUUUUUUAUUUAAAUUCAGAAUUGAAAUCUCAAUUUUUAAGCAUUUUUAGCUGCAUGAAAGUUUCCCAACUCCAGGGGAAAAAAAAGAAAAAUCUCCUUUUUUCCAUUUCUAAUAAUUUGUCUAAUUGGAAUCUAAUUAAUAUCUUAAACUCUUACCAAUUUAAAUGUUUAAAGGCAAAACUUUAAUUUAUUAUUAUAUAAGUUUAAAUGGAAAUAUUGAAGACCUGAAGAAAGCCUUUAUGUGUAAAUUUUAUGUUAAAUUUUAAAUUCAAGUCCAUUAAUUUAAAUUAAAUGACAAUUGAAAAUUAAAUUGAAUUUUAAAGUUAAGCCUUGGACUUGAGGCUUCCAAAAUCUCCCAGGAAUUAGUGGAAUUAUAAACUUUUGAGGAUAUUUCAUCUGGCUGGGAAUUUUAUUUGGCAGUCUGCCACAGGUCAAUUUUUAUUAAUUAAUUAUUGAAUUAAUCACAAGAUUUCCAACUCCUGGACAAGUUUAAUUUGCCAAUAACUUGGAUUAUAUCCCAAAAUUCAAUCCUAGUUUUUCAGCAGCUGCCUUUUAGUAUGAAAACGCAAUCAAGAGUAAACCUCCAAAAACUCAAAAAUUGGAGCCAGUUUUCCCAAAAUUUUGCCUAAUUGGGAAUAAGUAACAAACAAUUAAUGACUAAUCCACUAACUUGGAAUAAUAUCCUGUUAUUCCCAAGGAUUUGAACAAAAUCCUGUGGGUUUUUUUCCUGCCUUAAAAUUUCAAAUAGUGAGGGGAAUUCUUGGCAGGAAUAUUUUAGGAGGUGUUGAAUUCCUUGGAAUUCAAACUUAUCCCAAAAGGGAGAAAUAAAUGGAAUAUUUGCGCUUUUUCCCGGGAAUAUUAAUGGAUAAAAACAUCUCCUGCAUGCCCUUGCUUUGCUCUGCUGCCACUACAUUUAUUGUUAUUAUCUCUCCAUGCUGCCCAUUUAUUUUUGGGAAGAUGAGGACACGGAAAAAUCCCUGCUCCGUGGACAAAGUUUGGCUGGAAAAACACCGGAACGACGAAGCCGAGCGGGAAGCGCUGGAGCGGGAAGCGCCGGAGCCCGAGGCCGUCAACGGGAUCUGCCACGAGGAUUCCAUCGAGGGGGAGUUCAAGGGGGACCCGAAAAAACCCAGGAAUGGCAAAAAGCAGCGGAAAAGGAAGCGCUCCCCGAAACCCAAAGCUCAGGAUUCCAAGCUGGAGGCGAUCCUGGCGGGAAUGUCGGCGGAGCACGUGUGGUUUGACAAGCCCUUGUAUGACCGCGCCGAGAGCGCCUACAGGAUAAAAUUAGCAGGUUCCCAGAGUUGGGAAUCAACUGAGACUGGAAAAAUGGCUCAGGAAUCUCCUGCCAUGGCCAGGUCGAAAUCCAGCCAAGAUAUUCCCAAGGUGAGGAUGCUCCCGGCGUGUUCCCACGGAAGCCUGGCCGCCUGUCACCACGUUGUCCAAGGGGUUUGGAUCAACAAGUUUGACUUCGAUAAGGCCGAGAGGGCGUUCAUGGAGAAAUCCCAAUUUUUCCUUCCUCCCAACGUCCUGGCCAUCCCAUCUGUGUGGGCGAAUUCCAGGCUGGGAACGCCGGAUGAGGGCUAUGGCACGGCCUUGCCCACUCCUGCCACGCCAGGCUUGGCUCCUGGCAUUCCCAACUCUCCUGUGGCCUCUGUUCCCAGUUUGCCCAGCUCCGACCAGCAGACGGUCAAUGGGAAGCCGCAGAUUUCCAACUGGGAAGUUCUGGCAUCCGAGGUGUGGCUGGAAAAGCCUCUCUACGAUGAUGCUGAGAAGAAUUUUUAUGAGAAGAUGUUGGAUGAAACCCAACAUGGCUGUCUGGAAGCAUCCAAGAACCACAACCCUGGGAAGGAAACUGGAAUCACCUCCACCAACCCUGAGCUCCCUGAUAUUCCCAAGGAAAAUCCCACCUGCUUUUUCCUGCACAAGGACAGUGAAUCCGUGUGGCUGAAUAAGGUGACCUACGACAGGGCAGAAUCCAGAUAUUUUGCCCUGGAAGCGGCCAGAGCAGCAGAGAAAACAGGGAUCCAGGAAUCUGCUGCAGGAAAUCCCUCCCAUCCAGCUGCUCCGAGCAUUCCCGCUCCGGAAACGAAUCUGGAUCAGCUGAUUCAUCCCAUCCCCACUCCACACCCAGGUCAGGCAGGAAAAUGGCUGUGGAUUACUUCCUGCACGACAAGAUCUGGUUCGAGAAGUUCAAAUACGACGACGCCGAGCGAAGGUUCUACGAGCAGAUGAACGGCCCCAUGGGUGGCCCCUCCCGCCAGCAGAAGACCCCUGCUCAGAGCAAGGAAGCUCCUUGUGCCCGUCCCAAGAAACAGUCGGGACGCUCCGCCAGUGCAAGCACAACCUCCUCUGGAGCUGCUGGUGACCAAAAUGAGCUCCUGUCCCGAAUUUCCCACC
This is an RNA transcript of Pyrgilauda ruficollis (rufous-necked snowfinch), 2878 nucleotides long. It is a transcript of the gene named eukaryotic translation elongation factor 1 delta, with no coding region annotated. The transcript has 5 exons. Lineage: Eukaryota; Metazoa; Chordata; Aves; Passeriformes; Passeridae. The record is from RefSeq and is a predicted model, not a curated record.